Molecule: non-coding RNA, 1164 nt
Organism: Nylanderia fulva
Lineage: Eukaryota; Metazoa; Arthropoda; Insecta; Hymenoptera; Formicidae
Source: RefSeq, a predicted model, not a curated record
CCUUGACGUGGUGGGGAGGCCCUAGUACCUGGAUGAUUAAUCCUUUUAGAUUUAUCCUUUGAGAUUUAUCCUAAAGGUUUAUUCUGAAUGGGAAGCUAAGUACCCAAGACGCGUCGUCGAUUUUUGAUGUGCCGCGCGCGGAUCGGCAUUCGCGUCACCGUCGCGUUUCGCGUAAUAUUUUGAUUUCUCGAUUUCGAGAGUAUCGUUAAAAAUACCGCGCGUACGAUUGCGGGAGUGCCGUUAAAAGUAUCGUUAAAAGUAUCGCGCACAAAAGUGCGGGAGUGCCGUUAAAAGUAUCGCGCGUAAAAGUGCGGGAGUGCCGUUAAAAGUAUCGCGCGUAAAAGUGCGGGAGUGCCAUUAAAAGUGUCGCGCGAGUAUUAGUCAAUUUUUAACAGUAUAACAGAGGAGGCCUAGGAGAGGCAUCGGGCACCAGACGGAUUAACUCUAUGAUCAACUUGACGAUCCUGCCAAUCUGAGAGGAGGAGGAGGCAUCGGGCAUCAGCGAAGCAACUUUAAAACAACGCGUAGCGUCGAUUUCAACAACUUCGCUGUUGUGCAUCGGUGCCGGGUAGCACCGAGAAACAUAGCACUGAAUUUUCCGCAAUUUAAACAACAAAACACGGAUUCAAGCGAUGCAAAUGUUGAUCCUGCGAGCUCGCUGAUCUUCGAAGUUACGUCUUUCAUGAACGAAGAUUUGUGGAAUGGAGAAGCCGAAUACAGAGUCCCGAGGUCGCGUUGCAUCUCGAUUCGCACCGGCGCCGGCUAAAGUGCAACAUGUGCUGGUCGCAUAAACGGGAGAAAGGGAAGGGAGGAAAGAGAGCUUUGAGGUCGGUCGUUUGGAAUUGCUCGAUUAAGGCCAUAGACUGCAGGCCCCGCUAUCAAAAGACUAUCGCACGAGAUAUGUGCAGUGAAAUGCAGUGAUGCAUCGAGAUUGCUGGUACGGAAGGGAUGUAUCCGCCCAAAGAUCGGUUGGAAGCUCGAAUUUUCGCCAAGUCCGCAGAAAAGUUCAUAUCGGAGUCUACGAAAAUCCUGAUCCUUUUUAUGUUACUCGCCCAAGUUUCGGUUAUAUGCGGAGACUUGGGAGAGAUAAAGUAUAUAAAUGGCUAUAUAAAGUAAACAAAAGUCACGGUGCAAAUCAUAAAGCAAGGAAAUAUUUAUCCUCCU